Molecule: small RNA, 151 nt
Filed under: Marmota monax (woodchuck)
Lineage: Eukaryota; Metazoa; Chordata; Mammalia; Rodentia; Sciuridae
Source: RNAcentral
GCUGGGUGCAGUGGUGUACACCUGUAAUCCCAGCAGCUAGGGAGGCUGAAACAGGAAGAUCACGAAUUCGAAGCCAGCCUCAGCAACAGAUCUAAAAGGGGUUUUUGAAGAAUAUCAUUGCGCUAAGCAACUCAGUGAGACCCUGUCUCUA